This 460-nucleotide ribosomal RNA is filed under the name uncultured bacterium. Its description in RNAcentral is "partial 16S ribosomal RNA". It matches the Rfam family "Bacterial small subunit ribosomal RNA", at positions 338 to 795 of the family's 1533-position model. The record is from RNAcentral.
CCUACGGGUGGCAGCAGUGAGGAAUAUUGGGCAAUGGGCGCGAGCCUGAACCAGCCAAGUAGCGUGAAGGAUGACUGCCCUAUGGUUUGUAAACUUCUUUUAUAUGGGAAUAAAACGUUCCACGUGUGGGAUUUUGUAUGUACCAUAUGAAUAAGGAACGGCUAACUCCGUGCCAGCAGCCGCGGUAAUACGGAGGAUCCGAGCGUUAUCCGGAUUUACUGGGUUUAAGGGGAGCGUAGGUGGAUUGUUAAGUCAGUUGUGAAAGUUUGCGGCUCAACCGUUAAAUUGCAGUUGAAACUGGCAGUCUUGAGUACAGUAGAGGUGGGCGGAAUUCGUGGUGUAGCGGUGAAAUGCUUAGAUAUCACGAAGAACUCCGGUUGCGAAGGCAGUUCACUGGACUGCAACUGACACUGAGGCUCGAAAGUGUGGGUAUCAAACAGGAUUAGAUACCCGUGUAGUC